Long non-coding RNA from Episyrphus balteatus (marmalade hoverfly), 2753 nucleotides. RefSeq lists it as uncharacterized. The transcript has 3 exons. The record is from RefSeq and is a predicted model, not a curated record. Lineage: Eukaryota; Metazoa; Arthropoda; Insecta; Diptera; Syrphidae.
CGAACACAUUUUUAGUCUAACAUAAGAAAUGCUCGAAAUGCUUAAAUCUUGAUUCAAUGUAUGUAUGUUUAAAUGUACGCCACUUACGACUAGUUAUCAGUUCUUAGAUAAUCCUGCAAAUGAAUGAGUGGUUUUACAGUAGUGAAUCAAUAAAUAAGCCCAAAAAACUCAAUUAAAUUUCAAAUAUUGUUUUUAGUCAACCCAGAGUUAAUUCAUCAAAAUCAGUCAGCCCUAUCGGCAAUACAAUUUCCCUGGAAAAAUUUCUCUAUUCCGAAAAAUCGGUAUCGGCAAUACUUUUUGAAUAGAAAAAUUUCCUAGGAAAAAAUUCCCACACAAAAAUACCUAUCGGGAAUGAAGUUUCUCCCCCGAAGUAUUUCUAUCAUAUUUUUUUAUGGGGAACAGAUAUUUUGAAGCCAAAAUGUACGUGUUUUUCUUUCAAAAUAUUUUAUUAUUAAAUUAUUUACUUCCUUAAUCCAACAAAAAGCAAAUGAUAUUGCAACUGGAUAACGCAAAAUAGUAGACAAAAAUAAAAUAUAAGAAAACCUUAAAAAAAAGCAUGGAACUAAAGGAGACCAUUCCGAGAGCAUUAGUUUGCUGCUUUGGUCGAAGAAAUGAUUAAAUUAUGUGGAAUGCCUCAAUUUAUUUCAGUUAUUUGUUUAUCAUGUCAAAAAAAAAACAAAGCUUAAAAAACUUAAUUGAUUGAUUCUUUAAUUAAAAUUAAAAACACAAAACUAAUGGGCAAAAAAUAAAAAAAAUUAUUGAAUAAAAAUCUACAAAUCAACACCAAAGAAAAAAAUUAUAUAAAUAUUGACUAUUAAACAUUUUAAUUGUUUUUGUGCACUACAUACAAUCAAAUUAGAGUUGUCAAAAUUUUCGAAGACAUGCGUUCGAAUGUUUUUUUGUUUUGUUAAGUUGGCUGUACUUCUUUCCCGAAAACGAAAUUCCGAUGGAGAUUGCCGAUAAGGAGAAAAAUUCCCGGGAUAGAAAACCUACUCCCGGGGAAAUUUCUCACGUGAGAUUGCCGAUAGGACUGAGUGAGUUAACUCGGGGUUUACCUAAUACUCGCAGUGAAAAACUGGCACCCCUAUUGCGAUUGUCAAUUAUCAAUUGGAUAAUUAAUAAAUCCUGAAAUUUUGCACUUUCAAUCUCAUUUUAUUAUGUAAUGGGCCAAUGUAACAGUAAUUUUUAUUAAUACUAUUACAAUUUAUGACAGCCAACAUCUAACAUCGAAACUUUUAAAAAUCGAGUUUCUAAGAAUUUAAUUUUAACUUUUAUCAGCUUUCAAUUCAUCAUAGACAAUCGUAGUAGGAGUUGUGGGUCUUAGUAAUAUCAUUUAUGAAAACACCAACAAUCUUGACGAAAAUUCUGAGAAGUGGACGUUUUCUUAAAAAAUUCCAUGUUUUCGAGAAUUCGAAUACAAAAUUUGGAAAAAUUUUACUCAUUCACUAAAAUUCCAGGGUCUUUGAUUCUCACAUUCAGAGGCAGUGUUAUUUAUUAAUAGAAGUAUACUUUAUUUCGUAUGCAAAUUUGGGAUUUUUUUUUAAAUUCAAAAUGUGUUAAUUUAUGGGUGGUAUCGCUAGUAUUUUGUAAGUAUGUAAUCAGGAACUGUGAACUUGUAUAUUAUGUAUAUCCAAUUUCUAUAAUUUAUUUAUCCACAUUUUUUGCUGCUGUUUUAUACAAAAACUUUCUUAUUUAGAAAAAUGUGUCAUAUAAGUAUCUUGUUUUGUUUGGAGGGGGUAUAUGAAAAAGCAAUUUGUUCUUUGCUGAUGAUUAUUUGGUGCAAGGUAAGAUACAAAUUAAUUGAAAUAAGUAUCUUUUUAAAUGAUAAAAUAGGCAGUUUUAUUCCAGAAACAAACUCUUUUUUUUUUAAUAUACAGUAUCAAACAUAUUAUGUGCUAUAGAAAAAAUAUAUUGUUGAUAGUUGCACUGUGUUUUUAUAAAUGUUUUUCAUUUUUCUUUAAGAUGUUUUGGUCACCUGGAAAACUCGACUUUUUUCUCCCAAGUUUCAAAAUAUCACUCAGCGUUUUUGGGUGGCUCUUGUUUGUUUUGAAUUGAAAAUAAUUUAAAAGUGUAGGUGGUUGGAAAGAAUAAAAGUAUGAGCAGAGAGAUGAGUGUUAAAAAUGAGGAUGAGGGAAUAAAGUUUAUUAGAGUUGUGUUCGGGUAUGUAUUUCAUUUAAAAAGUAUAUUGGCUGUUUUUUUUUCAACAUACACAUUUAUUAUAAUUGAUUAUAAACAUAUUACAAGAUUGAAGAUAUUUUGUCACAUGUUAUAUAUAUGUACCUUAACCUUAAUUUUUCUGAGAAAUACUUACCUUAUAUUUACAUGAAAUAUAUUUUCCCUUUUAUAUAUUAUGUAUAAAAACCAUGUCAAACCAUAUUCAAAGUUUAUUAUGUGUUUCUUCAUAUCUAGCCCUGGGCAGUUUGAUGCUCGUUGAGUAUACAUAGUUUCUGAAGUGUGUGUGUUCAAAUAGUAUUGAUGCGCCUCUGGACGAAAACGAAAACAAAUAAAAAAAAACGCAUUAAAACCCUCCUUCCAGAGUUAGUUAAAAAUAAAGAAAACACACAACACUGUUCAAAGUUUAAAAAAAUAAAAAAAAAAGUAAUUGUGCAUAAUCCAGACUCAGGUAAAUUUUCUUUUAUAUUCUUGAAUAUAAAUAAAUGUGUUUGUCCAUUUAAUGAAAUAAAAUAUUAUAUAUUUUACCCAUAUAUAUUUAAAUAUAUAAAAUUUUAUCUUUCCAAUAUAUUGAAAAUAGG